AUUGAACGCUGGCGGCAUGCUUUACACCUGCUAGUCGAACGGCAGCGGGGGCUUCCGCCUGCCGGCGAGUGGCGAACGGGUGAGUAAUACAUCGGAACGUAUCCUUGAGUGGGGAAUAACGCAUCGAAAGAUGUGCUAAUACCGCAUACCUCUAAGGAGAAAAGCAGGGGACAGAAAUGCCUUGCGCUGAAGGAGCGGCCGAUGUCUGAUUAGCUAGUUGGUGUGGUAAAUGCCUACCAAGGCGACGAUCAGUAGUUGGUCUGAGAGGACGACCAGCCACACUGGGACUGAGACACGGCCCAGACUCCUACGGGAGGCAGCAGUGGGGAAUUUUGGACAAUGGGCGAAAGCCUGAUCCAGCCAUGCCGCGUGAGUGAAGAAGGCCUUCGGGUUGUAAAGCUCUUUUAGUCGGAAAGAAAAGAUCGUAAAUAAUACUUGCGAUUAAUGACGGUACCGACAGAAAAAGCACCGGCUAACUACGUGCCAGCAGCCGCGGUAAUACGUAGGGUGCGAGCGUUAAUCGGAAUUACUGGGCGUAAAGGGUGCGCAGGCGGUUUUGUAAGUCAGAUGUGAAAUCCCCGGGCUUAACCUGGGAACUGCGCUUGUGACUGCAAGACUUGAGUGCGGCAGAGGGGGGUGGAAUUCCACGUGUAGCAGUGAAAUGCGUAGAGAUGUGGAGGAACACCGAUGGCGAAGGCAGCCCCCUGGGUCGACACUGACGCUCAUGCACGAAAGCGUGGGGAGCAAACAGGAUUAGAUACCCUGGUAGUCCACGCCCUAAACGAUGCGAACUAGGUGUUGGGGAAGGAGACUUCUUUAGUACCGUAGCUAACGCGUGAAGUUCGCCGCCUGGGGAGUACGGUCGCAAGAUUAAAACUCAAAGGAAUUGACGGGGACCCGCACAAGCGGUGGAUGAUGUGGUUUAAUUCGAUGCAACGCGAAAAACCUUACCUGGCCUUGACAUUGAUAGAAUCCCGCAGAGAUGCAGGAGUGCCCUUCGGGGAGCUUGAAAACAGGUGCUGCACGGCUGUCGUCAGCUCGUGUCGUGAGAUGUUGGGUUAAGUCCCGCAACGAGCGCAACCCUCGUCCUUAGUUGCCAGCAGGUUAAGCUGGGCACUCUAGGGAGACUGCCUUCGCAAGAAGGAGGAAGGUGAGGACGACGUCAAGUCAUCAUGGCCCUUACGGCCAGGGCUAUACACGUGCUACAAUGGGGCGUACAGAGUGUUGCAAUACCGCGAGGUGGAGCCAAUCACUUAAAGCGUCUCUCAGUUCGGAUUGUUCUCUGCAACUCGAGAGCAUGAAGUUGGAUUCGCUAGUAAUCGCGCAUCAGCCAUGGCGCGGUGAAUACGUUCCCGGGCCUUGUACACACCGCCCGUCACACCAUGGGAGUGGUUUUCACCAGAAGCAGGUAGCUUAACCGUAAGGAGGGCGCUUGCCACGGUGG
This 1444-nucleotide ribosomal RNA is filed under the name uncultured bacterium. RNAcentral's name for it is "16S ribosomal RNA". It matches the Rfam family "Bacterial small subunit ribosomal RNA". The record is from RNAcentral.